AAACUUCAGCAGCACAUAUACUAAAACUGGAAUGACACAGAGAAGAUUAGCACAGCUCCCGCACAAGAAUGAAACACAAAUUCCUGAAGCAUUCCACAAAAAA
RNAcentral lists this small nuclear RNA (103 nucleotides) under Rhinopithecus bieti (black snub-nosed monkey). Lineage: Eukaryota; Metazoa; Chordata; Mammalia; Primates; Cercopithecidae. The record is from RNAcentral.